Long non-coding RNA from Dreissena polymorpha, 3514 nucleotides. RefSeq lists it as uncharacterized. The record is from RefSeq and is a predicted model, not a curated record. The transcript has 2 exons. NCBI's taxonomy places the organism in Eukaryota, Metazoa, Mollusca, Bivalvia, Myida, Dreissenidae.
GUACCCUUUGGGUCAAAAGUACAGAUACGCCAACAGCUUAAAAUAGAUAUCACAGCGGUGACAAAAUUGUUACCGCGGUGACAUUUUUGUCACUGCGGUAAUAAAUUUAUCACUGCGGUGAUAUAUUUGUAACUGUUGUGAUACUUUGUUUGACCCAAACAGUUUGAUAAGAGCUAAAUCGAACUAACCAAUGAAACAACGUCUUGCAAAACGGCAAAUCGGCGAAUAUUUACUGCGAAGUUUUCAAGAUGUCUGCCUCCAUGGAUACUGUAAACAACUUUUCAGAUCAUGAGUUUGGUAAUUUUAAUCUUCGGACACAAGGAUGACGACAAUUAUGAGUCCAUCAAUGGUUGUGAAAUCAAGGAUAUUCUAUUGGAAGGAAAGACAUGAAUGCAUUCAAGUUUCCUGUGAGCAAUAUGAUUUCCUGACUUUGCCUUACAGUAUAAAACAAGAGAGUUAAACACUUGAAACUUGAAAAGAUGUGGUCCUAGAACCUGAAAUGGCAACUCCAGCUCUCUACAAAAGCAUCAUCUGGAAUCCAACUAUGUACAAUCAAAAAAUUAAUGUGUGUCUUAAUUUUGUCUUUUUAGAGCCCUGACGGGUCUUAAGAUAUCAGAUGUUUUAAAAUUCAUUGUGUUUGUGCUGCAAGUUUUAUGAACUGGUUAUAAAGCUUAUGUAUGAAGAACCGUUUACUGCCUGGUUAGCUGCAGUAGAGCACUCAUAGGAAUUGGGAGAUCUGUGGAAUCCCUUUGUGGCUUGCAAAUUUCAACCUGUUUUCAAAAAUUGCUUAGUUGGUCAGUGUGUUUAUAUUUCAAUUUUCAGGUCUGGUAAAGAAAGUUAUUUAAAGGCAAUGUGCAAGGUUUUCCUUAAUAAUAGCAUGUACACAGGAAAAAAAAGCUUAAUAUUAGAUAUUUUGUUAUAAUCAGUUUGUGGUCCGUCCAUAGCUAAACAUGAACAUAGAUAUUUUUUACUUUUAUUAGUACUAUAUACAUAUUAUAAAUAAAAGGUUGUAUCUUGCAUCUUCUAAUCCUUAAAGUGGCAUGGUGGCCUAGUGUGUGUGUUGUUUAUCUAUGAAAUUUAUACAUGUAUACUAAUAUCUAGGCUACAUUAUGAUGUACUACUCAAAGAACAGUAUGUUUAAAAUGCAGGUUUAUACUAAUUUAAAUACAGGUACAAAUUAAUCCUGUGUUGUAUAUAGCAGAAUGUCCCUUAUUUUCACUGUUAUCUUUUAAAACUGUUCAGGUACACUUCACCUGCAUAAAACUAGUUCAGAUAUAUAUGUCCCAUAGAGCAAAACAAUUGUCACUAAAUCAUUGUAUAAUCGUUAUUGGCAGUUCACUUCUGUAGUUUCUGAAAUGAAAAAUUGUUGUUACCUACCUUCACUCUUAAUUCAGUUUUAGUAGAAUGCUUAAUUUCAUUUUUUUUUCUUUAUUAGUUGUAAGUAGUGGGCUCUGUGUUCUGAUUAGUUCCUUAAUUGAACACAUGUUUAAACGUCGGUUGUUAAAUUGUAUAACAUGUUAAUGCAGAAUUGUACCAUAACAUGAAAUUGUAUUUUUUGCUUUGUACAUUGUUUGAAAUGUUACCAUCUUGUUUCUAAUAAAUGUUUUUUAUAAUUCACCAUCUAGUCCUAUUUGCAAAAAAGUGAACCAUUUAAAUAUUGUAUUUAAAGUAUACACCCGUUAGCCUUACUUAAGUCGUGAACAUUUCGUAGGCAUUUGUUAUCCCCAGUAAUAGGCGGAGGGAUAUUGUUUUGCCGCUGUUUGUCCGUCCUUCCGUCCGUCCGGCACUUUUGUGUCCAGAGCCAUAUCUUGUUAGUGCUUUAGCGGAUUUCAUUGAAACUUGGUAUGAGUAUAUUAUAUGGAUAAGAGGAUGAUGUACACUUUGUAUCUUGAAAAAAAUGCUUUUUAAUAUAAUCUUAGAGCUUUAUCUUCACUAACACAUGAGCCAGAGCCAUGAAACUUGCCAUAGUUGUUCUCAAUCAUCUAGGGGUGCUUCACAUUCAACAUCCAUAAUUCUAGGGGCUAAGGUCAUGGCCCUUUGUAUCUUGAAAAAAAUGCUUUUUGAUAGAAGCUUAUAGCUUUAUCUUCAUUAACACAUGAGCCAGAGCCAUGCAACUUUCUAUAGUUAUUCCAAUCAUCUGGGGUUGUUUCACAUUCAACACCCAUAAUCCUAGGGGCUAAGGUCAAGGUCACACAUUGAGGUCAAAGGUCACAAAUUUGAGGAAUUAUUCAUUAAUUGGUAAUUCCUUUACUAUGCAUCAAGGAAUUCUGUUAUAACUGUCACAAUUGUUCUCAAUUAUCUAGCUGAGUUUCAAAUAUAAGAUCCAGGUUGCUAGGGUCAUGGUCAAAGUCACACACAAAGGUCAAAAUCACACAUUUUGAUCAUAUAUAUAUAUAUAUAUAUAUAUAUAUUAAAACUCAGACCCCACAUAGAUUGCAACCGUCAAUAUUUUCUACACCAAAGUACCAUUAAAAGACCAGUAUUGUUAGUGAGUAUGCACAUUAAGAUCUUAUGCUGAAUGUUCAGAUGGAGUAUGAAUGCUAUUCCAACCACUAUUUCACUUUUAAAAUAUGUAACCACCAAUUGCGAGUCCGCAUGCAAAGAUGUAUUGUAUUUAUUAAAUUUAGAAUUUCUAAAUUCUGGAUAUUAUUUAGAGUAGCAGCAAUCUCAACAUUUCUUACACAAAUUUUAUUCUGUUAAUAAGACGUGUAUAGUUAGUGCAGGUUAUAAUCUGUUUUUAAAACUAUUAUAUCUAAACAUGUAAUAUACUUUUCUAUUAUUGCAUAAAAAUAGUCAUGUAUUAGUUUUAAUACAUUUUAAAAGUACAUAGGUGAGACUGUAUCAAUUUACUGAUGUUUUUAUCAGUGUAAAUAAUGAAUAACAUGUAUGUACAUUAAGGUCCCUUAUAAGUCUUUUGUUGAACGGUCAUAUAGAAUGCAAUGUAUCUAUUUUAUGAAUGUUGAAAGACAUUUGUACAAUACAUUGUAUAUAGACUGGGACUAUAACAAUGAACUAAAAUUGCUUGCUAAAACAUUUGAAUGAAGUUGAAGAAAGGUAACUCUUUAGGGCUUAAAAAUGGUUGGCAAUAUGGUUCGAGUUACUUCCCUUCAAGCUUACGUAUGGCUAGCAAUUUUACUUAAUACAUUAUGAAAACUGAUUUUAAGUUGAUAUUACAUUGGAGAUUUAUAUUAUCACCACGAUUAAUCUUAAUCAAGGAAUGACCAUGGUAAUUGGAAGAUCUUUUAAGAUGUGUAAUUGUUUGCGCAAUAAUGCAUUUUGUAAUGACGGGCACUAUAUUGGAAGUGUAUGGCAUUCUUGAUAGGGUCGGUGGUGGUAAUGUAGUUUUUACCAUGUAUAGUCAUGAUAGUCAUGUAACGUACAUUGAUAAGCGUUGAAUAAGUCUCUUAUAAUUCCUUUCAUGAAUGGCCAAUGUUGUAUCUAUAGCUUUAUGUUUUAUAUAUGCAUUGUGAAAAUUGUAAAUAUUGGAUGAGACUAUAAUAAACUAUAAAACGUG